Molecule: long non-coding RNA, 801 nt
Filed under: Panax ginseng (ginseng)
Lineage: Eukaryota; Viridiplantae; Streptophyta; Magnoliopsida; Apiales; Araliaceae
Description: long non-coding RNA (PGIN_LNC017593)
Source: RNAcentral
UUGAAUGCAUACAUUGUAAAUUAGGAUAAAGACAAUUUAUCCUACUGGUGCUCAGCAAUUUCAGAUGGCAACCUCAAGCGUGACCUAACCUGAAAGCUAUUUUUUACUUAUUACGGCAUAGUCCAAUGGCCAUAUAUGUUGUGUCUCUUCAUCAUUUAUGUGAGUAAAGGAGUAUUUUUGUUGGGGUUACAAGAAUAAGGUUGUUUGGAUCUGGUGUGGAAGUUUGUUUUGGGUUUAUGGACUGAGGCUGGUUGUCGUUCCCGUUUUGAAUAGGUUGGCUUUGUUGUGUGGGUGCUCUGCUCUAUGGUCGGAUGUCAUGGAGUGUUCCCUUACUGAUUUCUUGCUGUCUUAUUGCCUCUUCCCCUUCAUUAAAUCAGUUUAAGGUGUUUUAAUUUGUUUCCCUGGUGUUAUAGCCGGUGUUUAUUAUCGAAAAUCCUAUUCGCUAUUGUUGUGUUAGAUCUGAUUUCCGGUUGGUUUGAUUGAUUCGUCGAAUCUGCUUCGUUUAGAUCUUGGUCUGAAUCAGUUCGAUUUGGUGAUUUAAUGAUUAUCUUAUUUCGAUUUCAACUGAUUUGGUGCUUAUUUUCGGCUGUAGCACCUGAUUUGGUGGCUGCAUCUAGAUCUGGAUUUUUCAUUUGUUCAGAUCGUUAGGUUAGGGUAUGUUGUUGUUUGGUGGAUCUGAAAAUGGGUUAUCCGUUUAAUGCAGAGAUUUGUAGCUUUCAAAUUUAAUUUUUUUCUAUUUCAAUUUAAAUGUAAUUCCAGUUCAUUAUCUGCAAUUAUAAAUAUGUCUUCUCUCAAAUUCUU